This 33-nucleotide transfer RNA is filed under the name Impatiens scapiflora. RNAcentral's name for it is "partial tRNA-Leu". Lineage: Eukaryota; Viridiplantae; Streptophyta; Magnoliopsida; Ericales; Balsaminaceae. The record is from RNAcentral.
AAUCCGUCGACUUUAGAAAUCGUGAGGGUUCAA